UGCAGAAAAAUCCUCUAAUACAUUGGAUCUAAUCAUCUAAAUUCAUCUAAUUCUUCUUUCAUGUCACGAAUGAUGAUAAUAUACAAAGGUGAUAGAAGAUGACCGUAUGGAAAGUGAAGAAUAAAACAACACGAUGUGAAGAAGUUUCGAAUUAACGAUGAAGAAAAGAAGAAAAAGAAAACUGAGGAAAAAAGAAAUAAAAAUAUCAAAAGAGCAUACGAAGUUUAAAACACAAUUUGCCACGAAAAACCAUCAAUUUCAGAAAUUGUGUCCACAUGAACGAGCUAUCAUCAUUCUGCGAUGACGAUGUAAAACGAAUUUUUCCGAUGAACGAGCUCUCGCCAUAUUCCGUGCAUACGCAACAACUAGACUUGCUAGACACUACACACCGCGAUACUUGAUUGUAUAUUGCGCAACAUGGCUUCAAGGUUGUAAGCCACGAAGUGGUUUCACGUUUGACGAUUAAACUGUGCUUGAAGAGAAGAAAGAACAGAAGAAAAUGAGUAUUGUAAAACGUUUGAAAAACGUGUUGAUUUUAGACGCAUGACAAAAUUCACCUCAAAGAUUUUCCACGUACAUAAAAUAUGAAGCACUGUCGUUAAUAUCCGAUUACAUGGACGAAGCAGAAACUCUUACUAAUUUCAACGUCUGUAUUUUGUUCUACCAACGAGAGAGUAACACAUAACGCACGCUUACACGAGACGAUAGUAGUGUGGCACGUACGCGAGGGAAGGAACAACCAGACAGACCUCGGUGACGGCCAUCUUUCUUUGCACAUGUGGGCAGGAACCGGAGCGGUGCUGCUAUCUGUAGUUCCAUGAAUGCAUUGAUUGCCCGCGAAAGGGGGGCGAGGCCGCAAAAGACUUCGCUGAGAGAACAUCAGGGGCGUAACUAUCCAAGACCAUUCUCUAUUUUUUCACCGCCAAAAAUACCAAAAACAAACCCUUUUUCUCUUACGAUCUACCUCAAAAAUAAAAGGAAAUAAAAGAUACUAUAAUAUUAACAAUAUCAAAUGAAAAAAGAACUAUUGGAAUUUAAGCAAAACAUCGAUUGUUACAAUAUAUGAACAAAAAAUAUGAAACAGAAGAAAUAAAAAAUAUCUUCGAAUGAUUCUCAUGAAAAAAAUGAAAAUAAAAAAAGAAAUAAAAAAAAGUUUGAUAACCUUUAAAAGAUUAACGAAGAAACGUGAUAUCCCCUUAUUAAAAAUUGCUAAAGUUCUUUGACUGAUACUAAAUACACCGUGUGUAUACAUUCUUAUGUGACUUCGCACUUUUUGAAGAAUCACUUUCUCUCUCCCCACUUCUCUAUCACUUCUUUCAUUUCAUUAUCGGUUAUUUAUAGACAAUCACGAGAUAAAUAAAAUAUUCUUAUACGAAAGGAAAAAUAUAAUUAAUCGAAGGUAAACGUUAUGCUAAUUCCAAAAAGUCACGUGGUUUGUAGACGUCCACGUGAUAUCGACCGUAAAACCGUAUAAAUGCAUCUCCUUAGUCAUCUAAUUGGAUAUUGUUGGUUAAAUUAAUCUUCGACAUUGUUGUCAUUCUUGUUUGCUUCUUCUGUCGUUUUAUGUUAGAUGUUUGACAAACAUAAAAAAUAUCUGAUGCGAUUAUUUUUAUAAUUGGACAAUAUUGCUAUGAAGAUAAUGUUAUCCUCUAUUUGAUAUUUUAUGUAAAAUAGUACAAUACGUUUAAUUCUCUCUCUCUCCCCCUCCCUCCCUCUCUCCCUAUAUAUAUAUAUAUAUGCACAUAUAUACAUCUAUAUGUGUAAAACAAUUAAAUUAUUACAAAACGGAUAUUCAUUUUAUCCUUGGAAUCCAUUUAAAGUUAGACAACUCGGUCGACUCGUUUUAUCUUGCUCGAGAUCUCUCUAGGAAGAGAAGUUUGUGAUGCUUCGAAAGUAUGUCAAAUGUUUGACCGGAAGACAAGGACAGUGUAUACUUUUCUCUCUUGCUGACCGUACACUUUAAGCGAGUAAUUUCAAACUCUUUAAAAUAUAAUUCAUGUGAUUACGUUUAUUUAUAUACAAUUUAAUAAUGAGAUAUCUACAAAUUAUAAGAGUUGAAUCGAAAGAUGUUUACUGUCAAUAAAAAUUUUUGCAAACGAUAUACUCUGUAUUAUGGACGACAUGGAAGCAAAAUCAAAUGUGAUUUAUUUCUUUCUAUAAGUUAAAUUUGAAAUUAAUCCUCUCAUCGUACGUUAGGAUUCUUAUCGUACGAUUUACCGAGAUAAGUAUUCAACAAUGAACAAUGAACAAUGAACGACGAAAGGGGGUUGGUCGUUGUUCUGACGAGACAUAUCAUGCAAAAGGGAAAGGAUUGAAUGCACCUUCACGAUGGCACAAGGCGAAAAGCAUUUUAUCGAUUGACCUAUAUUUCGAAUUGUUUCAAGCUCCGCAUGAGGGCGCUUAAAACCUCUGACAUAUAUACGGAACUUCUAAGAUAUAUCGAUAUUAAAAUGAACUUCAUAAGUUCUUAAAAGAAAAAAAAUAAAUAAAUAAAAAUAAAAAGAAAGAAAAAGAUUUUUCGAAAGAAGGAUAAACAGAUAUUAUCUCAUUGUAGAUCAAGCUAGAGGCAUGAUGUUAAAUACGAAGGCCGUUCACUUAUGACGCAAUUCCAAUUUUGUAAAAUUCAUAUUUUCCAUUUCCAUUAAUAUAUUCUAGAAACAUAUAGAUGAAUACAAUGAUCUGAACAAAUGAAAGUGAUGAUCCAUGGUUCGAGAAUAGAAGAUCAAGUUAUUACGAAUCUGAUCUAACAAUGUGACUAAUAAACAUUAGUGUCAAAUUUACACUGGCUUCUUGAAUUAUUAUUGUAUAAAUGAACAAAUGAAAAUGUUUCGUCUGAAGCGAUACUUUUUCCUUUAUUACAUAGUAGCAGUUUGAUUCGAGCAAACGGUUAAAAUUGAAAGAACCUAUGAUGACUGACUCCUCUACGUAAAAAACGUAAAAAUCUCUUAUUGAAAUUAUUUGACACUUUGAAGACACAUAAAAACGCACAUCUCUUUAUCUUGAUUCAUUGAAUGGACAAAUCAUUCUUGCACGACCUGAGCCCAUCAGUGUGCCUGCAAAUAGAGGCAAGCUGUACGACUCCUGAACAGAUAGGUCACCAGGUCAGAUUAACUACCCCUCCGCAUACCCGAAAAUAACUCAGGCUUGGUAUACAUUCGUUCUCUAUUAGUAGACAAAUCAAAUAUUUGAGACUAUGCCAUCACAAUACAGUAUCAUAAGACGAUAUGUAUCAAUUCCCUAAAAACCACAUAUGAAUAUAAAAUUCAACGAUAGAAAAUAUAACAAAACGAGAAAUAAUGAAGUAACAAAAUGUUUCAAAAACAAGAUGGAAAACCAAGGUGCAUCCAUUGGUCAACAAACAACAUGUCCAUGAUGGAGCAUUUAAGAAACGUCUAGAUCAGCCAGCAUAAAUAGAACAUGCACAUUUAUCAUUAGGCGAAGAACGAAAGGGAAGAAUAUGAAAGAAUAUAUGUAAAUGGUUUGAAUCAAGGCAUGUUACAAAAUAACAGGAAAAUAAAUUCAUGCGAAUGUCAUCCAAAAAUAAAAUAGAAUUUCCGGCUAUUCCCAAUUAUUCUGAUAAAUAUGUAAUUUAUAGUUUCUAAAUUUGAAUUCAAUAAAUCAUACAAAAUUAAAAACAAUUUUCUAGCAAUAUACAAUCGUUAAAAAUUUCAUUGUCAAAUGUAUCAUUGACUGUGUCUGUAAUGUAUUUAUUAGCAGGAUGUAUAUAAAGAGAUGAAAAUUGUCUAAUCGCAUGGUCUUUUUCCCACACUUCUCGAUGUCUGUUUGCUCCUAGUCUCACACCACGAACUGGGAUAUAUGUAUCUUUAUCCCUACCACGAUAUUCUCUCGUGAUACUUCUACUGUCACGUAUCCCCACCACUACAUCUUCCUACGGUUGGUUCUCACUGCCGAACGUCAAGGAGAGAACAUUCCUUAGGUGGGGGAAGUUACGCCAA
This is a long non-coding RNA of Vespa velutina, 3956 nucleotides long. RefSeq lists it as uncharacterized. The record is from RefSeq and is a predicted model, not a curated record. The transcript is spliced from 3 exons. NCBI's taxonomy places the organism in Eukaryota, Metazoa, Arthropoda, Insecta, Hymenoptera, Vespidae.